CAGGACCAGUGCUGUAAAACGCGUUAUGGGGUUGAAAAAAUGAAAUUUGCUCUAUGUUACGUUGCAUCAGCUGCUUUCGUGGCAGAGAGUAAAAUUCUUCGUCGAGCAGUCCGCCUUGCUACAAACGCGAUCUCCUGGGAUAACUUGGAAGUUAUUUUUCAAUUUGGGAUUUCAUUUUCGGAUUUUAUGAUUUCGUCAGUUAGUAGCCUUGUUGUGAAUCGUGGGCCAGCUACAUCUUUACCCAACGGCAGUGAAAGGGUUGCGGAGAGCGAUUUUAUGAACGGACAUAAUCUCCACGGACGUCCCUACACACUGAAUUGGGAGUUGAAGGAUGUAUGGGCGCCGCGGAUUCUUGAUGAGGCGAUUGGCUUCAUCAUUGAAAAUUUUCCUCGAAAUUUUCAACUUGAUCCUGACGCGCACUCACAAGAGUUGCUUGACAGGCUCUCUUCUGGGAGAACGCCGUCCAGGCGCUAUAUCAGAGAGGUAUCCACAUUGACAUUUGGUAGUUUUGCUGAUGCAAACAGCUGCAAAUUUAGGAGAGAGGAACGGGUCAUGUCAGCGAUAUUCUUGGCCGUUCCGUUCAAAAUAUUGAGGAAACUUUUUAAUGCCAUGAUAGUUAAGGGAGUCCUUACUGUGAGCAUGGCGGAGGACAUUAUAUUUGAGCGCGAACGGCGUCGGAUUCGGGCUGUCCGGACUGUCAAAAAGAAUGAGGCCUCUUCUGGCAGCAACUCUCAACUGACAAUUCAAGCAACCGACCCAAUCGGUUGGCGAGAGG
RNAcentral lists this small RNA (775 nucleotides) under Histoplasma ohiense. Its description in RNAcentral is "hypothetical lncRNA". The record is from RNAcentral. Lineage: Eukaryota; Fungi; Ascomycota; Eurotiomycetes; Onygenales; Ajellomycetaceae.